RNAcentral lists this unclassified non-coding RNA (250 nucleotides) under plant metagenome. RNAcentral's name for it is "partial contains small subunit ribosomal RNA and internal transcribed spacer 1". The stretch from base 1 to 46 matches the Rfam family "Eukaryotic small subunit ribosomal RNA", at positions 1786 to 1831 of the family's 1831-position model. The record is from RNAcentral.
AAGUCGUAACAAGGUUUCCGUAGGUGAACCUGCGGAAGGAUCAUUACUGAAAGGGGACUCCGGUCCCCGGGACAAGCCCCCGUCGAGCCCUUGGGCUCCCCGGGCGGUGACGCCCCUUCACCCUUUGUUUACCUUACCUCUGUUGCUUUGGCAAGGCCCCUGCCCGGGUGGUUCCAGGCUUGGGCUCUGCCAGAGGGCCCCAAUUCGUGGAUAGUUUUUGUUUGUCUGAGUACGAUAUAAUCGUUUACAA